This 520-nucleotide ribosomal RNA is filed under the name uncultured bacterium. Its description in RNAcentral is "bacterial SSU rRNA". It matches the Rfam family "Bacterial small subunit ribosomal RNA", at positions 90 to 596 of the family's 1533-position model. The record is from RNAcentral.
GGUUAGCGGCGGACGGGUGAGUAACACGUGGGCAACCUGCCUGUAAGACUGGGAUAACACCGGGAAACCGGUGCUAAUACCGGAUAAUCCUUUUCCUCACAUGAGGGAAAGCUGAAAGACGGUUUCGGCUGUCACUUACAGAUGGGCCCGCGGCGCAUUAGCUAGUUGGUGAGGUAACGGCUCACCAAGGCGACGAUGCGUAGCCGACCUGAGAGGGUGAUCGGCCACACUGGGACUGAGACACGGCCCAGACUCCUACGGGAGGCAGCAGUAGGGAAUCUUCCGCAAUGGACGAAAGUCUGACGGAGCAACGCCGCGUGAGCGAUGAAGGCCUUCGGGUCGUAAAGCUCUGUUGUUAGGGAAGAACAAGUACCGGAGUAACUGCCGGUACCUUGACGGUACCUAACCAGAAAGCCACGGCUAACUACGUGCCAGCAGCCGCGGUAAUACGUAGGUGGCAAGCGUUGUCCGGAAUUAUUGGGCGUAAAGCGCGCGCAGGCGGUCCUUUAAGUCUGAUGUG